This 452-nucleotide long non-coding RNA is filed under the name Malus domestica (apple). RNAcentral's name for it is "long non-coding RNA (MDOM_LNC013700)". The record is from RNAcentral. Lineage: Eukaryota; Viridiplantae; Streptophyta; Magnoliopsida; Rosales; Rosaceae.
GGGCAAGGUGUCGAGGCACAUUGUAGCAAGUGUCGAAUGACACAAAGUAUGUGUUGGAAUGUACGAUUGAAUGAAUAUACUGUGAAGCUGUUCGUUUAUUUGUAUAGUCUUGUUGACAUGUACUUAGUCUUUGUUUCAUGUUGGAAGCAUUCAUGUUGAAGCUUUGAACCUGAGUGUUUCAUUGCUAGGAAUGUAAGAGGAUUAGGACCAAGUUGUCUAAAUCACCUCUUUAUUGAAUUCAUGCCAAAUAGUCUUCGUUACAUAAGAUGCCAAACGGCUGAAGCUUAACACUUGUACAAUGUGAGUUUACUUGUAAUAGUACUUCAAGUGAUCAGCGUUCCAUGGAUGGCCAAGGGUCUUGCCAUCGGAGCUUUUAAGCUUGUAGGAGCCAGGGCGACUGAUGCCAACAACUUCAAACGGUCUAUCCCAGUUUGGACUAGGUGUUCAUUCAC